UCAUCAUGGACUACUAUAUCAGUACAGAAGAUAAGAAUUAACCAAUGGAUUUAGGAAUGCCAUGAAGAUGGGAUUAACACAAAAGAUGCUUGGGGCUACUAACUCAUAAGUAAGCCACGUAACGCUGACCAUGGGAGAAACAGCUGGUCCCGAGAUUUACACCUGCAGCCGUGAUUGCCCCUUCGACUUUGAGCAUCAUAGCGAAGUGCUGGUGAUAAGGGUUAUUUAGGAUUUAUGGACAUUGGAAUAUCAACUGUACUGUUUGUAUGACGUCACCAGAAGUGACGUUACGCAUCAUCUGAAGCAGAAUCCCAACUGUGUCUAAUUAUUAAAUGGACCAUUGGAUACAGGGGUAUACACAGCAGCCCUGAUGGAUAAUGUGCAGCGGGUGUGUAACUUGAAUGGAGUGACCUGAGGUGACGCGCUAUACGGCGCCGAUAUAUGUGGAGUCCGGGACACUGAUCUUCAUAACAAUAGGACCGGAAGUGACGUCGCGCCGUAAGGGCGGACGAACAGGUAACCGCGGUAACGAGCCCGUCUGCACGAACCAGCCUCUGGCCAGGGAUUGGAGUUACUAUAGCAACACAGAUGCCUCCAGCAGGAGUCAUGGGACUUGUAGUGUGAAAUUAUGUAUAGGAUCCAGCUGGGCGUCCUGGACUUUCAUCGGCACUUUCAGUAUUCAAAUAGCAGCACGAUUGGAAGGGGCAGUAUUCAGACUCCAAACCUUGACAAAGACCCCAGCUAGGGGUGGAAACGCGUAGGUUAUUUUCCCGACAAGCCGGGGGACGGACUGAAGGACCAGUAUCCAGUAAGAGCUAUUGCCUGCAUGGUGGUAAUAUCCGGAAAUCCCUAAUACCAUCUUUCAUGCGCUUUCAGAACUGUUUAGCCGCAGUUCUGAAGUAUCUGGUAAUUAGCCUGUCUUCCUAUUGCUUAAAAGGGACUCGUGCAAUAUCUGAUCAUUCAUUUUAUUCUGUAUUUUACUGU
Pseudophryne corroboree (corroboree frog) is the source of this 984-nucleotide long non-coding RNA. RefSeq lists it as uncharacterized. The record is from RefSeq and is a predicted model, not a curated record. The transcript has 3 exons. NCBI's taxonomy places the organism in Eukaryota, Metazoa, Chordata, Amphibia, Anura, Myobatrachidae.